RNAcentral lists this ribosomal RNA (497 nucleotides) under uncultured bacterium. RNAcentral describes it as "partial 16S ribosomal RNA". It matches the Rfam family "Bacterial small subunit ribosomal RNA", at positions 28 to 507 of the family's 1533-position model. The record is from RNAcentral.
GAUGAACGCUGGCGGCGUGCCUAAUACAUGCAAGUCGAGCGAACAGAUGAGGAGCUUGCUCCUCUGACGUUAGCGGCGGACGGGUGAGUAACACGUGGAUAACCUACCUAUAAGACUGGGAUAACUUCGGGAAACCGGAGCUAAUACCGGAUAAUAUAUUGAACCGCAUGGUUCAAUAGUGAAAGACGGUUUUGCUGUCACUUAUAGAUGGAUCCGCGCCGCAUUAGCUAGUUGGUAAGGUAACGGCUUACCAAGGCAACGAUGCGUAGCCGACCUGAGAGGGUGAUCGGCCACACUGGAACUGAGACACGGUCCAGACUCCUACGGGAGGCAGCAGUAGGGAAUCUUCCGCAAUGGGCGAAAGCCUGACGGAGCAACGCCGCGUGAGUGAUGAAGGUCUUCGGAUCGUAAAACUCUGUUAUUAGGGAAGAACAAAUGUGUAAGUAACUAUGCACGUCUUGACGGUACCUAAUCAGAAAGCCACGGCUAACUACAUG